This 116-nucleotide ribosomal RNA is filed under the name Bigelowiella natans CCMP2755. Lineage: Eukaryota; Cercozoa; Chlorarachniophyceae. The record is from RNAcentral.
ACGACCAUACCACGACUAAUACACCCGAUCCCUGCCGAACUCGGAAGUUAAGCGUCGUUGGGACUCGUUAGUACUGCGGUGGGGGACCACGCGGGAACACGGCGUUGUUGUAUCCA